Molecule: ribosomal RNA, 429 nt
Filed under: Chloroflexota bacterium
Lineage: Bacteria; Bacillati; Chloroflexota
Description: Chloroflexi bacterium partial 16S ribosomal RNA
Rfam family: Bacterial small subunit ribosomal RNA
Source: RNAcentral
UGGGGAAUAUUGCACAAUGGGCGCAAGCCUGAUGCAGCCAUGCCGCGUGUGUGAAGAAGGCCUUCGGGUUGUAAAGCACUUUCAGCGGGGAGGAAGGCGGUGAGGUUAAUAACCUCAUCGAUUGACGUUACCCGCAGAAGAAGCACCGGCUAACUCCGUGCCAGCAGCCGCGGUAAUACGGAGGGUGCAAGCGUUAAUCGGAAUUACUGGGCGUAAAGCGCACGCAGGCGGGCUGUCAAGUCGGAUGUGAAAUCCUCGGGCUCAACCUGGGAACUGCAUCUGAUACUGGCAAGCUUGAGUCUCGUAGAGGGGGGUAGAAUUCCAGGUGUAGCGGUGAAAUGCGUAGAGAUCUGGAGGAAUACCGGUGGCGAAGGCGGCCCCCUGGACGAAGACUGACGCUCAGGUGCGAAAGCGUGGGGAGCAAACAGG